CUAGUCAUAUGGAUUCGCCCGCCGCGCCCCGCGCCCGUCCCGCCGCCCCCGCCCGCUCCUACGGGAGGCAGCAGUGGGGAAUAUUGCACAAUGGGCGCAAGCCUGAUGCAGCGACGCCGCGUGCGGGAUGGAGGCCUUCGGGUUGUAAACCGCUUUUGUUCAAGGGCAAGGCACGGUCUUUGGCCGUGUUGAGUGGAUUGUUCGAAUAAGCACCGGCUAACUACGUGCCAGCAGCCGCGGUAAUACAAUC
RNAcentral lists this ribosomal RNA (250 nucleotides) under uncultured organism. Its description in RNAcentral is "partial 16S ribosomal RNA". It matches the Rfam family "Bacterial small subunit ribosomal RNA", at positions 304 to 530 of the family's 1533-position model. The record is from RNAcentral.